Molecule: ribosomal RNA, 495 nt
Filed under: uncultured bacterium
Lineage: Bacteria
Description: partial 16S ribosomal RNA
Rfam family: Bacterial small subunit ribosomal RNA
Source: RNAcentral
GACGAACGCUGGCGGCGUGCCUAAUACAUGCAAGUAGAACGCUGAAGGAGGAGCUUGCUCUUCUGGAUGAGUUGCGAACGGGUGAGUAACGCGUAGGUAACCUGCCUGGUAGCGGGGGAUAACUAUUGGAAACGAUAGCUAAUACCGCAUAAGAGUAGAUGUUGCAUGACAUUUACUUAAAAGGUGCAAUUGCAUCACUACCAGAUGGACCUUCGGUGUAUUAGCUAGUUGGUGGGGUAACGGCGUUCCUAGGCGACGAUGCAGAGCCGCCGGGAGAGGGGGAGCGGCCGGCCUGGGAGGGUGACAGGGCCCAGACUGCUACGGGAGGCAGCAGUAGGGAAUCGGCGGGAAGGGGCGGAAGUCUGAGCGCGAAAGGCGGCGGGAGUGAGGAAGGUUGUCGGGUCGUAGAGCUCGGUUGUAAGAGAAGAAAGAGUGUGAGAGUGGAACGUUCACACUGUGACGGUAACUGAUCAGAAAGGGACGGCUAACUACGUG